Ictalurus furcatus (blue catfish) is the source of this 655-nucleotide long non-coding RNA. RefSeq lists it as uncharacterized. The record is from RefSeq and is a predicted model, not a curated record. The transcript is spliced from 2 exons. NCBI's taxonomy places the organism in Eukaryota, Metazoa, Chordata, Actinopteri, Siluriformes, Ictaluridae.
UCAGAGGCAGCUGGUGAGUGAGGGGAGGGGUAGGCCAGAGGUGGCCAUGCUGUAACUCACCUACAUUUAAUCCUCCACCAGACUAAUUUCUGGGUAAAGCCACAACACACGCGCAUGUGUGUGCAUCUGUACCGUCGCCCACUUCAGGACGUAGCCUGAACCUCGAAUGCAUCGGUUGAAUGGAGAUUACCCAGUACACCAUCCACUGUAAUCACGUUCCCCAGAAUUCCUCUUACAUUCUCAAGAAUUUCACUUCCCUUUCUGUGCUGAGAUGAUCCGAAUCCACAACCCCCACCCUCUGCCGUUUUUGCAUCAGACUGAAAUGUUUCUGAGGGAAGGUACACUGUGUGACACUGUCCUCACUGUGGAUGGUUACACUUUCAAAGCACAUGCACUGGUACUAUCCUGGGCCAGCAAGACCUUUGAACGCCAGCUAAUCAACCAGAAUCCAGCUAAAGGCUACUGCUGCACUGUUGAUGGUGUUUCCCCACAAACUGUUAAGCAAAUCCUUGACUAUGUGUACAGUGCUUGCGUAGAAGUAUCAAUAGGGGACCUUCCAGAUUUGCUCAGGGGAGCUCAGCAUCUGGAGAUGCAGUCACUUUUGGAGCAGUGUGAGUUGCAAAUGGGGAUCCAGGACAGGGUUAAAGGUAGAGAA